GAUGAACGCUGGCGGCAUGCCUAAUACAUGCAAGUCGAACGAGAGGAAGGAAAGCUUGCUUUCCUGAAUCUAGUGGCGAACGGGUGAGUAACACGUAGGUAACCUGCCCAUGUGCCCGGGAUAACUUCUGGAAACGGAUGCUAAAACCGGAUAGGUAGCAGACAAGCAUUUGACUGCUAUUAGAGUGGCCUUGGCCAUGAACAUGGAUGGACCUGCGGUGCAUUAGCUGGUUGGUGAGGUAACGGCCCACCAAGGCGACGAUGCAUAGCCGGCCUGAGAGGGGCGACGGGCCACAUUGGGACUGAGACACGGGCCCAAAUCCUACGGGAGGCAGCAGUGAGGAAUAUUGGGUCAAUGGACGCAAGUCUGAACCAGCCAUGCCGCGUGCAGGAAGACGGGCUCUAUGAGUUGUAAACUGCUUUUGACUAGGGUAAACUCAGAUACGCGUAUCU
RNAcentral lists this ribosomal RNA (452 nucleotides) under uncultured bacterium. RNAcentral describes it as "bacterial SSU rRNA". It matches the Rfam family "Bacterial small subunit ribosomal RNA", at positions 28 to 467 of the family's 1533-position model. The record is from RNAcentral.